Amborella trichopoda is the source of this 4250-nucleotide long non-coding RNA. RefSeq lists it as uncharacterized. The record is from RefSeq and is a predicted model, not a curated record. NCBI's taxonomy places the organism in Eukaryota, Viridiplantae, Streptophyta, Magnoliopsida, Amborellales, Amborellaceae.
GAAGGAAGAGACACCCUUGUGCUUAAAACUCGUGCUUGAACCUUCAAACGAGAGGCGAGAUUUUUGUGAGUUUAUAAAGGAGUGGACCCGCACCUAGUUGCGGACCAAGAAUACUCAAGAGGAAUGGGCCCACCUUCGGCGCGGCCCGAACAUUUAACAAGCGAGAGAGAGAUGAGAUAAAUUUGAUAGGCCUGAUGGACCCAUGCUUAAGCGCAGGCCUAGAGUUUGUCACAAAUAGAGAGAGAGAGAGAGCGAGAUGGAAAGGUUAUGACAAGGUCGCACCUAGGAGCGUGCCUGGGAGCUUGUGACGAAUUGAGAGAGAGAUAGAAAGGUUUUGACGGGGCUGUGCCUAGGCGUGUACCUGGGAACUUGUGACGAAUCGAGAGAGAGAGAUAUGGAAAGGUUUUGAUGGGGACGAGCCUAGGCACAUGCCCAAAGAGGUUAUAGUGUAUAAGAGAGAGAGAGGGGGGGUUUUCAUCCCCCAAAGUGAAUUGGGUUUUUAGUUUUUACUUCUCCUCUUUCACCACCCCCACCUUUCUUCACUUUUUGAGAGAGAGAAAAAGGUGUUUCGAAACCAUGGCUAGCACUAGCUCCUCCCAACCUCAAGCAAAAAUACUUGAUGUGAACCAAUUGCCUCGCUCUGGAGAGUUGGGGACCAAUACUUAUACGGGUGCUGCCUUUACCCGAUCUACUACCCUUGGCAUUCUUGAAAUCACCCAGAAGUUGAAAUGGACUUUGCGCAUUACCUAUGUAGGAGGGGAUGCUCAGAUCUGCAGAUAUGAAGAUGUCGAUGGGGAGCUCAUAUUUCAAGGGGAUAGUGUUCCCAUUUAUCAUACUCUCCAUAGAUUUUUCACUCCAGUGAGAAUCUUCCUACUCUGGGGAAGAGAAUGUUAGAGAAUCCAGGUCUUCAUUGGGUCUCCGGUGGGCUCCGUUUUGAAGGGGAGCACUAGUAUAUGCGAGGAUAUAGCACCUGAACAUUUAACGUCCGUGAUUUGCACGCCAAUGUCUUAGAAGUGUGUAGAUUGGCUGCAGCAUGUCAGUGCUUGGCUGGAGAUUAUGACCGAUUUUCCAAUACUAGCAUAGCUUUAUUGGAAACAUGGUGUUACAAGACCAACAACUGGCACUUUGACUAUGGUGAAGGAGGAAUCACCCUUCUCGACAUGUAUUCAUUUGUGGGUUGCCAAUGCUGGGGGGCAUGUAUGAAGAAUUCAUACCUAGUAAUGAAGUGAUUUUUAGAAAUCAGCCAAUUAAUGGUGAAUUGCCCCCUCCUUGUCUCCUUGAGUUGUUUGAAAUUUACCUACUCUUGCACUCGAAGACCAAGCUCAAAUCCAAAGGGGUGCAUUGUGAUGCUUGGAGAGACGUUUUCCAUAGGAAUUGCCAAGACUGAGGGGAAAUCAGCUCUACUAUCAUCUGGGCAAAGGGUAGAAGCCGCGAAGGAUGCCAAGAGUCCUAUAGUCCCCCUCAGAAGAUCUGAAAGAGAUCAUAUAUAUUUGGUUGCUUACUUGGUCCUCUUUUUAUGUAAAUUUGCAUUGCCAAGGUCAAGGAGCAAUAUCAUUCGGCCAGGCUGCUUCUUCGUAGCCUGCAGGCUUGCCCAAGGACGUCAAUAUGCCCUCGCCCAGCCAGUUCUUUGUAGCAUUUACCAUGGCUUAGGAGCUAUUGCACAUGGUAAAGCUCCUUCAAGGGAUAGUAAGAGCAAGUCCUUUGCUUGAAAGGCCCUUCCUGGCUAUUUCUCAACUGGUUUCCCAGUUCAUUGCAUUUUCAGCUGGCUCUCUGCAUACUUCCCCAAGAUAGGAACUGAACCCUACAUACCUAGAGCGUAUGAGAUUAACGAGAGCCUCCAGGGUAUGCUUGCCGUCAUAUGCUAAGAAUUGUUGGGAUGAAAGCCAUCUUUAGGUGGCCAGGGGAACCACGUAGAUUCCUGGCAGACAUCUCUUUCUUCUCUCGUGGGAGACCCUUUCUUGUAGGCUAUCCCACUGAUUGUGUCUAUACAGAGGCCUUGGUGGUAUCUUUGAUGGACACACCACUGAAACAAAGGAGAUUAUGUACCUCUUGAGUGUGAGAGGCUGAAUUUUUCCAUAUAGGGGGGUUGGAGACAGAAAACUUGAAAGUUCGCACACCAGCAUGGCUUGGACCAAGGAUGCUGCUUCAUUGUGCUCUUCGAAAAGAAAAAUGGGAAAAAGGGAUCACAGCAAGAUCUUGAAGCUCCAGGCAAGUCUUGGACUGAUAGCAACGUGAGGAUGACCUGGGAAACCUGUCUUGGUCCUUUUAGCCUGAGCACAUUUGUAGUCCCCCAUUAUGGUCAGGUAGGUCAUGCUACUGAAGGUUACUGGCAGUGGUGGAAUGUCAUCGACCGCUAUUACUGGUGAGCGGACCAUACAUUGAAGGCUGUCAACAGUACCAAACAUGACAGCAGGGUCAGGAGACACUUCGUUCCUCCAUCCUUCCCCAGGGUUCACAAGAUUGACUACCCCUUGAGCUGGAGGGAACUUGUCAAACCUCAAUUUCUGAGCACGGACCUUACUGGCGUUGAUUACCUCUCUCUCGAAGGUGAAACCAGGUCUUCAUUUGACGACCUUUGUUCCAUCUUUCAAUGGGUUAUUGGUCGUGCAGCCCUUAGUCACGAGGGUCGUCCGAUCCAAGUUCCUAAUGCUUUAAUUAGAAGUGGACCUCACUCUGCCUCCAGCUACUAGACCUCACCAUGGCAAGAAGGUCCAAGAUACUCCUGAAGUAAUCCCAGAGGAAGGGCUAAAGAAGAAAGCGGUCAGGAGAAAGAAGGGUGCAGAGAGUUUUGAACCCAGCACAACUACAAAGCCUAAAAUUACCAAGAAGAGUACUCGUCUGAGUAAGAGGGCCUUGACGAGCUCAGAUGCACUUCCCUUGACACCAGCUACUUUGAGUAAAGGGAUUGGAUGUGCCUCUUAGGCCGAGGAAGCAUUCAAAGACAAAGGCUUCUCCUAUCCCGGUCUUGUCGCCAGAGGUAUUGACCCCUAUUCAAGAGACAAUCCCUGAGACUGUGGUGGUUGAAUCGAGUGCAUCUGAUCAUAUAUCGAAGAGUGCUCCUCUUCCUCCAGUAGAGAUAGCGAUAUCUCCAACUGAUAGUCCUGUCGAGCCUGUAACAGUCCAAUCUUCGACUCGUUCUUCCUUGAGUCAGGGAGACUUUUUCUGCACCGUCAUUGCGGAAGGAGAUAUCCUUGACAUUGAAACCAUUAGGGAAGCUCCAGGGGACAAGGGUGGGCAUUCCUGAAGUAUUUGUCCCCGUCUCCUCGGAAGCAGAACAUUAGCGGGCUAUUUCUUAUGGAACUUCUUUGGAACUCAGGGUGGUUCCUAUUUCAGAAGUGUCUGCCUUAGCGACUCUAAAUGUAGAGGCUUUAUCUGAGCCUAUCAUUCCUUCAAGUGAUCCCUUGGCUCUUGUUUCUCAAGAACCAGUUGCCAUUGCUGAAGUUCUUCCUUUUGUUACUAUAGGCUCUCCUUAUGUGCUUUCCUUGGCAUCGAUUAGGAAGGCUUUGGUUGUGAGAGACCUGUUACAAUCAAGUCUCCAGGGAGUAAAGGAAUGCUCCCUCUCUGAACUUGCAGUUGAGAUAGGUGUAGUCAGGGACUGCACAGCUACUUUGAGGGUGGUCAACUAUGAUAAGGAGACCUUUGAUCGGUUUGAAGGUCUUCUGAAGGACCUUGAAUAAUCAGGAGUCGAAGCUUUGUGACGUGAGUCCAAGAUACGAGUAGCAUAUAGGACUCGCCUGGCCUCUGCAGAGGAGACUUUGGCUUAACAUCAAAGUCUCAUGAGAAAUUAUGAGGAGAAGGCCCCUCUUCUUUCUUUCCAAGCUAGCUUCAAGGAGGCAGAUGCAGCCCGUUCUGCAGAGAUAAAGACUGCAGAGGAGGAAAGAGAAAGGUUGGACCUCCAUAUUCACCAAUUGAAGUCUGAUCAAACAUAAAAGAGAAUAGAGGCUCACAGCAAGCUUGAGAAAUUGGAGACUCUGAAUUCCAAGGUGGCUUCAAUCAGCACUACGUCAAACCAAGUUAGGUAGACAAUCUCCCACGUCAAAGAGCAGAUGUAGAUAGCUUCAGAAUCUUUGGUGGCACUGAAGAUCAAGAUUCAUGAAGCCCUUGGAAACUUCUAGGGGCUCAUGAAAUCUUUUAUCUUUCUGCUUUUUCUAUGUUCUUUUCUUUCUUUUUGUGGGUUUUUGAUAACUGUUACUACAAAAUUUUGUAACCUCUCUCUUUCUUCUUAUCUUUGGCUCGUGUACUUCUCUUGA